RNAcentral lists this ribosomal RNA (253 nucleotides) under uncultured bacterium. Its description in RNAcentral is "partial 16S ribosomal RNA". It matches the Rfam family "Bacterial small subunit ribosomal RNA", at positions 524 to 776 of the family's 1533-position model. The record is from RNAcentral.
UACGGAGGGAACUAGCGUUGUUCGGAAAUACUGGGCGUAAAGCGCACGUAGGCGGUGUCGCAAGUCAGGGGUGAAAUCCCGGGGCUCAACCCCGGAACUGCCCUUGAAACUGCAGCACUAGAAUCCUGGAGAGGCGAGUGGAAUUCCGAGUGUAGAGGUGAAAUUCGUAGAUAUUCGGAAGAACACCAGUGGCGAAGGCGACUCGCUGGACAGGUAUUGACGCUGAGGUGCGAAAGCGUGGGGAGCAAACAGG